This 252-nucleotide ribosomal RNA is filed under the name uncultured bacterium. RNAcentral describes it as "partial 16S ribosomal RNA". It matches the Rfam family "Bacterial small subunit ribosomal RNA", at positions 524 to 776 of the family's 1533-position model. The record is from RNAcentral.
UACGUAGGUGGCGAGCGUUGUCCGGAUUUAUUGGGCGUAAAGCGAGCGCAGGUGGUUUAUUAAGUCUGGUGUAAAAGGCAGUGGCUCAACCAUUGUAUGCAUUGGAAACUGGUAGACUUGAGUGCAGGAGAGGAGAGUGGAAUUCCAUGUGUAGCGGUGAAAUGCGUGGAUAUAUGGAGGAACACCGGUGGCGAAAGCGGCUCUCUGGCCUGUAACUGACACUGAGGCUCGAAAGCGUGGGGAGCAAACAGG